This 96-nucleotide ribosomal RNA is filed under the name uncultured bacterium. RNAcentral describes it as "partial 16S ribosomal RNA". It matches the Rfam family "Bacterial small subunit ribosomal RNA", at positions 1386 to 1482 of the family's 1533-position model. The record is from RNAcentral.
CACACCGCCCGUCACACCAUGGGAGUUGGAUUGACCCGAAGACAGUGGCUAACCGCAAGGAGGCAGCUGGCCACGGUCGGUUCAGCGACUGGGGUG